Molecule: ribosomal RNA, 286 nt
Filed under: Enterobacteriaceae bacterium
Lineage: Bacteria; Pseudomonadati; Pseudomonadota; Gammaproteobacteria; Enterobacterales; Enterobacteriaceae
Description: partial 16S ribosomal RNA
Rfam family: Bacterial small subunit ribosomal RNA
Source: RNAcentral
UCCCUGGGUGACGAGCGGCGGACGGGUGAGUAAUGUCUGGGAAACUGCCUGAUGGAGGGGGAUAACUACUGGAAACGGUAGCUAAUACCGCAUAACGUCGCAAGACCAAAGAGGGGGACCUUCGGGCCUCUUGCCAUCAGAUGUGCCCAGAUGGGAUUAGCUAGUAGGUGGGGUAAUGGCUCACCUAGGCGACGAUCCCUAGCUGGUCUGAGAGGAUGACCAGCCACACUGGAACUGAGACACGGUCCAUACUCCUACGGGAGGUGACAAUGGGGAAUAUUGGGGA